UACGAAGGGGGCUAGCGUUGCUCGGAAUUACUGGGCGUAAAGCGUGCGUAGACGGUAGCGUAAGUCGGGUGUGAAAGCCCCGGGCUCAACCUGGGAAUGGCAUUCGAGACUGCUCUGCUAGGGUGCGGAAGAGGGGAGCGGAAUUUCCGGUGUAGCGGUGAAAUGCGUAGAUAUCGGAAGGAACACCAGUGGCGAAAGCGGCUCCCUGGUCCAGCACCGACGUUCAGGCACGAAGGCGUGGGGAGCAAACAGG
RNAcentral lists this ribosomal RNA (253 nucleotides) under uncultured bacterium. RNAcentral's name for it is "partial 16S ribosomal RNA". It matches the Rfam family "Bacterial small subunit ribosomal RNA", at positions 524 to 776 of the family's 1533-position model. The record is from RNAcentral.